Molecule: transfer RNA, 76 nt
Filed under: Gammaproteobacteria bacterium
Lineage: Bacteria; Pseudomonadati; Pseudomonadota; Gammaproteobacteria
Also listed under: 5 other names
Description: tRNA-Thr
Rfam family: tRNA
About the family: Transfer RNA (tRNA) molecules are approximately 80 nucleotides in length.
Source: RNAcentral
GCCGGUGUAGCUCAGUCGGUAGAGCAACUGAUUCGUAAUCAGUAGGUCGGGGGUUCGAUUCCUCUCGCCGGCACCA